This is a non-coding RNA of Pelobates cultripes (western spadefoot toad), 227 nucleotides long. The record is from the annotation of a GenBank genome assembly. Lineage: Eukaryota; Metazoa; Chordata; Amphibia; Anura; Pelobatidae.
UCUUGUAUUUACUGUAUAGAGUGCUAAACCUCCAUAUUUUACUUUUUGUCAUUGUAUAUCGAUCGGAUGUCCACACUAAGUUCAGCACCAAUUUGGUGACUCUGAGGGAGCUUGGAGCUACCAGGUUGGUCUAAGGAGGGGUGAACCGGCCCAGGUUGGGAACAGAGCAGGUCAAAUCCCCCGUGUUGAUCAGUAGUGGGACAGCACCUGUGAAUAGACAAUGUAGA